GUCCACGCCGUAAACGUUGCAUACUCGAUCUUAGCGAUACACAGUUAGGAUCCAAGCGAAAGCGUUAAGUAUGCCACCUGGGAAGUACGUUCGCAAGAAUGAAACUCAAAGGAAUUGACGGGGGCCCGCACAAGCGGAGGAGCAUGUGGUUUAAUUCGAUGAUACGCGAGGAACCUUACCUGGGCUUGAAUGUGAGUGACCGAUGCCGAAAAGGUAUCUUCCCUUCGGGGCACAAAACAAGGUGCUGCAUGGCUGUCGU
RNAcentral lists this ribosomal RNA (259 nucleotides) under uncultured bacterium. RNAcentral describes it as "partial 16S ribosomal RNA". It matches the Rfam family "Bacterial small subunit ribosomal RNA", at positions 793 to 1055 of the family's 1533-position model. The record is from RNAcentral.